UCUUCCCCUAGCAGCAUUGCAUCUACGGCUACUGUGUCACAUGUGCAUCAGUAGGUACAUGGCAGAGAGGAGAGAGGUUAUGUCUGUGCUCAGAGUUCUGAUCUACAAACAUUUGAAUGAUUAAUAAUAGCUUACCCU
This is a small nucleolar RNA of Mastomys coucha (southern multimammate mouse), 138 nucleotides long. RefSeq annotates it as small nucleolar RNA SNORA17. The transcript has a single exon. The record is from RefSeq and is a predicted model, not a curated record. NCBI's taxonomy places the organism in Eukaryota, Metazoa, Chordata, Mammalia, Rodentia, Muridae.